UACGAAGGGGGCUAGCGUUGCUCGGAAUCACUGGGCGUAAAGGGUGCGUAGGCGGGUCUUAAGUCAGGGGUGAAAUCCUGGAGCUCAACUCCAGAACUGCCUUUGAUACUGAAGAUCUUGAGUUCGGGAGAGGUGAGUGGAACUGCGAGUGUAGAGGUGAAAUUCGUAGAUAUUCGCAAGAACACCAGUGGCGAAGGCGGCUCACUGGCCCGAUACUGACGCUGAGG
RNAcentral lists this ribosomal RNA (227 nucleotides) under uncultured bacterium. Its description in RNAcentral is "partial 16S ribosomal RNA". It matches the Rfam family "Bacterial small subunit ribosomal RNA", at positions 524 to 751 of the family's 1533-position model. The record is from RNAcentral.